CCCUAUGAUGAGAGAGCUGUUAAAUGAGUGGUGAUUAGAGGAUGGCUGGCUGAGG
This is a small nucleolar RNA of Pyrococcus furiosus DSM 3638, 55 nucleotides long. It matches the Rfam family "Small nucleolar RNA sR24". The record is from Rfam. NCBI's taxonomy places the organism in Archaea, Methanobacteriati, Methanobacteriota, Thermococci, Thermococcales, Thermococcaceae.